UACGAAGGGGGGCUAGCGUUGCUCGGAAUCACUGGGCGUAAAGCGCACGUAGGCGGCUUUGUAAGUUAGAGGUGAAAGCCUGGAGCUCAACUCCAGAAUUGCCUUUAAGACUGCAUCGCUUGAAUCCAGGAGAGGUGAGUGGAAUUCCGAGUGUAGAGGUGAAAUUCGUAGAUAUUCGGAAGAACACCAGUGGCGAAGGCGGCUCACUGGACUGGUAUUGACGCUGAGGUGCGAAAGCGUGGGGAGCAAACAGG
This 254-nucleotide ribosomal RNA is filed under the name uncultured bacterium. Its description in RNAcentral is "partial 16S ribosomal RNA". It matches the Rfam family "Bacterial small subunit ribosomal RNA", at positions 524 to 776 of the family's 1533-position model. The record is from RNAcentral.